AUUGAACGCUGGCGGCAGGCCUAACACAUGCAAGUCGAGCGGAUGAAGGGAGCUUGCUCCUGGAUUCAGCGGCGGACGGGUGAGUAAUGCCUAGGAAUCUGCCUGGUAGUGGGGGAUAACGUCCGGAAACGGGCGCUAAUACCGCAUACGUCCUGAGGGAGAAAGUGGGGGAUCUUCGGACCUCACGCUAUCAGAUGAGCCUAGGUCGGAUUAGCUAGUUGGUGGGGUAAAGGCCUACCAAGGCGACGAUCCGUAACUGGUCUGAGAGGAUGAUCAGUCACACUGGAACUGAGACACGGUCCAGACUCCUACGGGAGGCAGCAGUGGGGAAUAUUGGACAAUGGGCGAAAGCAUGAUCCAGCCAUGCCGCGUGUGUGAAGAAGGUCUUCGGAUUGUAAAGCACUUUAAGUUGGGAGGAAGGGCAGUAAGUUAAUACCUUGCUGUUGUGACGUUACCAACAGAAUAAGCACCGGCUAACUUCGUG
RNAcentral lists this ribosomal RNA (484 nucleotides) under uncultured bacterium. RNAcentral describes it as "partial 16S ribosomal RNA". It matches the Rfam family "Bacterial small subunit ribosomal RNA", at positions 30 to 507 of the family's 1533-position model. The record is from RNAcentral.